GACGAACGCUGGCGGCGUGCUUAACACAUGCAAGUCGAACGCUGAAGACCUGGCUUUUGUUGGGUUGGAUGAGUGGCGAACGGGUGAGUAACACGUGAGUAACCUGCCCUCUUCUUUGGGAUAACGCCCGGAAACGGGUGCUAAUACUGGAUAUUCACUGAUCUUCGCAUGGGGGUUGGUGGAAAGGUUUGUUCUGGUGGGGGAUGGGCUCGCGGCCUAUCAGCUUGUUGGUGGGGUGAUGGCCUACCAAGGCUUUGACGGGUAGCCGGCCUGAGAGGGUGACCGGUCACAUUGGGACUGGGAUACGGCCCAGACUCCUACGGGAGGCAGCAGUGGGGAAUAUUGCACAAUGGGCGAAAGCCUGAUGCAGCGACGCCGCGUGAGGGAUGGAGGCCUUCGGGUUGUAAACCUCUUUCGCGCAUGGUCAAGCCGCAACUGUGGGUUGUGGUGAGGGUAGUGGGUAAAGAAGCGCCGGCUAACUACGUG
Molecule: ribosomal RNA, 486 nt
Filed under: uncultured bacterium
Lineage: Bacteria
Description: partial 16S ribosomal RNA
Rfam family: Bacterial small subunit ribosomal RNA
Source: RNAcentral